GUGGAGGAUGGAGUGGUGGGAGAUCAAAGUACAGUACCUAAGAAAAUAUCAGGAGCUCUCAAGUGAAAUGAAUGUACAGAGGUACAGGGGGCAGAUUAACAAAACCAUUACGAAGAAAAGAUCCAACCAGCAAAGACAAUGCUCAUCUCCUCUUCUUGAAGGCACCCCAGGCUUCGCCAGUCAUUCACGGUGUAUUUCUCUUGUGCUUUGGGUGAGGCGGGAAGAGAAGCACCCAUCUCCCUCGAAACUCUACUAGACUGAAAACACACGAUGCAGACGGGUCUCUCCUUCCUCUUUCCUCAAGCAUCCAUUGAUGAAUGUUCAUGCUGGUGGUACCUGGAAGCACCGGGAGGAAGAAAGAUGGGAAGUGUGCAGGCGGUCUGGGAGUGCAUGCUCCACUUCUCUGUGAUGGAUGCAGCAUGAUGUGAGGGGAAGACCAGAACGUUUGGAGCAGGUCGGAGCUGAGUUCGAAUCUUGUCACAGCCACAUAAUAACUAUAACUUGGCCAAGUUACUUGGUAUCUCCAGCUUUUAUUUCAGUUGCAUAACAGAGGUAAUAAUACCUUCCUUAGAACAUGAUCAUGUGUAAAACAGAGAUAUUGUUGAAGUGCCAAGUACCAAAGUGUGUUCUGGAGAUCACUUACCUCCAGGAGACGUAAAUCUGUGCUCUCAGAACUAAAGUCCCCAUGGUCAAAUAAAUGUGGGAAAAACCACUUUA
Molecule: non-coding RNA, 717 nt
Organism: Equus caballus (horse)
Lineage: Eukaryota; Metazoa; Chordata; Mammalia; Perissodactyla; Equidae
Source: RefSeq, a predicted model, not a curated record